This is a long non-coding RNA of Callithrix jacchus (white-tufted-ear marmoset), 924 nucleotides long. RefSeq lists it as uncharacterized. NCBI's taxonomy places the organism in Eukaryota, Metazoa, Chordata, Mammalia, Primates, Cebidae. The record is from RefSeq and is a predicted model, not a curated record.
UACAAGUUAAAUAUAAUGUACUUUCCUUCCCAAAAGUUCUCAGAACUACAGGAUUUUAACUAAAAGGAACUUUUAGUUAAUCUGGUCUCCUCUAACCAGCAUAAGUCUUACUACAAUAAUGUGGAUAAGUCAAGCCAAAGCAUUUAUUAACCCAAAUCACUUUAUGUAUUUUCUUAUUUCAUCUACUUUGUCACACUCAAUAAAAACUGAAGAUUACACUGGAGCAGAAAAAAAGAUUUAAAGAUAAUUCUAACCUUCUUUGGACACAGUUAAGGGCAGAGAACUGUGAUUGGUAGAGAGGAAUAAGAGAAAGCAGAGGAGUAGCUGGCCCAGAGAGGAAGCUAUGGAGAGAAAGGAGAUUCAGCAGAAGAAAGGGAUGUUUGGCCACAACAACCAAAGAUGUUGAUAACUCCUACCCACUUGUAUUAUCCACUCAAUCUCAGUGUUUGCUUCUGGAGAACCAAACCUGAAGUAGGCAGCUGACUGGAUGUUGGAAAAUCCUUUUUCAAGAUGGCUUACUCCUAUGACUGUCUCCAGGGGGCUGGCUCUUCUGCCCACCACCACCCCUACACUCCACUAUACCUUAUCAUCAAGAUGUUCUUGCAUGUAAAACUUAAUGAAGGUGCUUACUUACUUGGGCGUCAGCCUAAUAAUGUCUUCAGAGUAUCUGCUGGGAACACAGAACAGCACUCAAGUCAGAGGAGCAUACAAAGGAAACAAAGGAUAUAGCUCUGUUCUUCAGAAGACUAUAUUUGAAAUGAAGAGAAUGAUAGACAGAAACUGAAGUAUAUUUUUCCAAGGCAUCUUCUUCCAUUAUUUCCCAGUGCAGAUUCCAAGUGAAAACUGAGGAUACAUUAAAUUCUAAGGAAGUAUUGAUAUUGUGUGAUUUGUCAGGGCAGGUUAUAAUGUGGGUGUUGAAAUUGG